RNAcentral lists this ribosomal RNA (253 nucleotides) under uncultured bacterium. RNAcentral's name for it is "partial 16S ribosomal RNA". It matches the Rfam family "Bacterial small subunit ribosomal RNA", at positions 524 to 776 of the family's 1533-position model. The record is from RNAcentral.
UACGGAGGGGGCUAGCGUUGUUCGGAAUUACUGGGCGUAAAGCGCGCGUAGGCGGCCCGGUAAGUCCGUUGUGAAAGUCAAAGGCUCAACCUUUGAAUGCCGAUGGAUACUGCCGGGCUCGAGUCCGGAAGAGGCGAGUGGAAUUCCUGGUGUAGCGGUGGAAUGCGCAGAUAUCAGGAGGAACACCGAUAGCGAAGGCAGCUCGCUGGGACGGUACUGACGCUGAGGCGCGAAAGCGUGGGGAGCGAACAGG